RNA transcript from Ahaetulla prasina, 3778 nucleotides. It is a transcript of the gene named nephrocystin 1, with no coding region annotated. The record is from RefSeq and is a predicted model, not a curated record. Lineage: Eukaryota; Metazoa; Chordata; Lepidosauria; Squamata; Colubridae. The transcript has 19 exons.
UCAGCGCAAAGCAACCUCAGCAAUGUCUAUACAAAUGACCGGCCGUCGGAGCCGAAGGGCCCCUCUGCAGAGCGCGUUGCGUCGGGGCCGAGAGCUGCGGGAACAGGUGGAAACUUUGCUUCAAGAAAGCAAAACAGUGAAGGCUCUGGAUUCUGAAAAAAGGAAAAGCCUUAGUGAGAGAUGUUUGGAGCUGAAGAAAUCUGUGGAUGAAAAUACCUUAACUCUUCAGAACUUAAAGAAAUCAGAUGAGCCUGCACCAGUUGGAAAUUAUAAUCAGAGAAAAGAAGAAGAAGAAAAACAAUUGUUUGAGCUUUCUCAGCAACUGGAAAAACUUGCUGCAGUCCUUAAUCAGGACAGUGUAGUCAAAGACUCUAGCAUGAAUUUGAAAAAGAAUGGCAGCUCAGAGGAACAGCAGAAAAAUGAAGAGACAGAAAAUGAGGAAGGAGAAAGUACCCAAAAUGAUGAUGAUGAUGAAGAAGAGCAAGAUAGCGAGGACGAUGAGGAUGAUGAAGAUGAUGAUGAAAGUAAACUAGAUGGUUCAUUUAAUACAGAAUUCAUCGCUCUUGGUGAUUUUGCUGCACAGCAAGAAGGGGAUUUGACAUUUAAAAAAGAAGAAGUUCUUAUUAUUAUUGAGAAAAAGCCUGAUGGUUGGUGGUUGGCUAAAAAUUCGAAAGGGGAGAAAGGCCUUGUGCCUAAAACCUAUCUUACGGCAAAAGACAAGGAAGAAGAAGAGCCAAGUGAAGAGGAAACAGAGGAGGACAUUGAGGUCGCAGAUGAAACAGCAGGUGGAGCUGAUAUUCUGAAAAGAACAGACUCUCACUGGAGUGCUGUCAAAAAGGCCCUCACAGAGAAUAAUACCUUAGAUGCCCUGACAACUAUGGGAGCAGUGCCUGCUGGAUUUCGACCUUCAACACUUGCACAGCUCUUGGAUGAAGGAAAUCAGUUUCAGGCAUCUUCAUUCCUUCAACCGGUGCUUACACCUUCCAAUCUUUCUUUCCAAGAUCUGGUAUGGAGUCCUGAAAAAGGCAGUAUUCAGCCAAGGCCGACUCGGAUAUCACUAGUUAUGACUUUAUGGAACUGCAAAGGCAUUCCUUUUCCUGGCAUUAGUAUACAGGUCCUCAGUAGACAUAUCCGACUUUGCCUUUUUGAUGGCAACCAAAUUUUGAGCAACAUUCAUACUGUAAGAGUUACAUGGCAACCAAAAAACCCCAAAACAUGGACCUUUUCUCCAAGGGUCAGUGGCAUUUUACCAUGUAUUCUUGAUGGUGAUUGUUUCAUUAGAUCCAAUAAUCCAUCUCCAGACAUUGGACUAUUGUUUGAACUUGGAAUCACUUACCACAAUUCAACAGGUGAGAGAGGAGAAUUAAGUUGUGGCUGGGCAUUUCUAAAACUUUUUGAUUCAAGUGGAUUUCCAAUUCCUUCCAAAACAUAUGAGCUGUUUUUGAAUGGUGGAACUCCGUACGAAAAAAGUGUAGAAGUGGACCCAUCAAUUUCAAGGAGAGCCAGCAGCAAUGUUUUUCAACAUAUGAUAACACUGAGGAAGCAGCCACAACUUCUAGUGAAAUUGAGGUCUAUUAGCACAAGAUCGAAAGGCAUACUGAACCUAUUACCAGAAGUAUUAAUUGGCAGCAUGUGCUAUAUGCAUCUCAUAUUGUUUUAUCGUCAGAUCCUUGGUGACGUACUUCUGAAAGGCAGACCAAAUGUGCAACAUGCAGGUAAGAUUUGCAGCUUUGAAGAACAGAAAAUACAGCAAAUACUUUCAGUUCUCGGGCUUGGAUUGGAGUUGCUUCCAAGUUAAAAAGAUGUCCCAGUGAUAUUUCAUACAGUCUCAUAAAACAUGUUUCUUUUGCUUUCAGUUGGUUAGGGUCCUUUAUUUUUAAUGUUGUAACAUAAAGUCGUGACUGUACUGAUACCUCAGCUAGGUAUUUACAAAAUAUAUUGUGUUUGUUGAAAACUAUGUUUGGUUUUAUUCAUAAUACAGAUUGUGGCUUGGAGCUUUGACUGGAUUGCUUGAAGUGGGUCUUGGCCUCUGGCUGAACUGAAGCCCAGAACUUUUAAAUUGUUCUGGGUUUCCUUUGAAAAAUGCUGGUGUGGUGGUGGCAUCAUGGGUGGGUGUUGUGUCUCAUUUCCACCUUUUUCUCUGCAUAACCUGUGCAGCAACUCACCUGCUUGAUCUGCCCAGUGCCUUGCCACUCUGCUAAAAUUCCAGCACAACAUACCUGGCUGGCCUCUUCAUCCCAUCUCAGUCUUCUUUGCAUCUUUUUUCCUUGUAGCUGCUAUGGAUGACGUUGCAUUUUCCCCAGAGUCAUCCCAUCCCAGAGCACAUUUUUGUUAAGAACAUUAAUGUUUUGAGUCUGUGCUGAACCCAAACAUGUAUUUCAAGUUAGUGCCUGGACCAAAUAUGCAUCUUGCAGUCUGGAUGAGGACCACCCAGUAAUUAUGGUGUUCUGUCUGGAAAUGUCUUUUUUUUCUUUUUUUUCCUGUUUGAAAUCCAUUUUUGGUAUGAUAAUGAUAAUGUAAAAUGAAAUGAAUUUAUUUUUCUUGAACUUUGUUUUUAUAAUAUGGCCCUAUUAAGGUAAGUGUAGUUAGAAAUACUAAGACAAAAAUAAAAACCCCGCCCUUCUUCUAAACUGUAUAACUUGUCUUUCUUGCAUAUGGAUUCAACGUUAAUUAUGCAAUGUGCCAUUUUUGACAGGGGAGGGAUUUGUUUUUGCAGAUUGAGAGUUUCUUUUUAAUUCUAUAGCAACUCUUUUCUUUCAUCAUCUUUUCUUUUUUCAGAACUACAAAUAUGAAAUACUACAUAUGUCAAUAUUGUUCUUAUUUUACCAGUUGCUGUUAUUUUGGUGAACAAACUGGGUUAUAUUACAAUAAAGUCAACUAUAAUGUACCACCAAUUCUUUACAUAGGGUUAGCAUUUGAAUGAUGGGAUGGGUUCUUUUGCUUAAUGCAGGGGUGUCAAAUUGGUGGCCCAUGGUCUGGAUGCAUCACACACAGGCCACGCCCACCCCGGUUCCGCAAAGGCAAAAAAAGUCAUGAUACGUCACAUGAAAUCACAUGACACGAUCAAGUUUAACGCCCAUGGGCUUAAUGGGAGGAUGGGAUGCAUUAACACCUUGUGAAGAAGAAAAACUAUUACAAAUACUGCGUUUUACAGCUAAUUCUGGAAAAUCAAUUAAAUCCAUGAAUAGGUAGAGAUUUAAUCCCAUGUUUUAUUGCCUUUUGUUUUUGCUUAAAAUAAAAUUUCUGAUUCUAACUUCAAAAUGCACUUUUUUAUGUCACCUAAAGUUGCAUAAAGUUACUCUAGAACAGGGGUGUCAAACUGGUGGCCCGUGUGCCAGAUAUGUCAUGCUCAGGCCACAUCCACCCCAGCUCUGUGAAGGGGAAAAAUGUCACAAAACAUCACAUGACAGCAAUGUGACAUGGUAAGUUUGACACCCAUGCCAUAGAACCAACAAAUUAUAUCCAGUGACUGCAGUCUAUGAAUUUAAAUCACUUAUUCAAUUUAUCUGCUUAGCCUAAUAAGAAUUGUCAAUAUUUGCUCUGUUUGUUUUUUAUAUUAUGAGUGGGUGACUUUCUCUUUUUAUUCUCAGUUGUCUUGUAUAUAGUAUGUCUUCAGUUAUGGGUCAAACCUAUCUAAUUUCCAUCCAUCUGUUAUUAAUUUUUUAGAUUUAAUCAGCAACCCAAUUUUGGCAACUUUUCCUAAACUCAUGGAACAGCCUGAUAUUAUGGAUGCACUUAGGAGUUCCUGGGCAGAGAAAGAAAAUACACUGAAGAGAUC